CUUCACAUCGCACCGGACACCUGCCAGACAAGAGUGCGCGGGCGGCAUCGCUUCCACGCGCCUGCUGUUGCUCGAACCGUGUCCUUUUCCCUUGCCUUGGUCCGUCCUGUCUCCCCGCCUCCUUGUCUCAGAGAACACAAGUGUCUUCGGGCGUGGCGCUGAUUGCCUCGAGAGAAGCAUUUCCAUAACCAGGCAAAGAUCCAAAGGCCAUUGAGCUCUCUUGCAAGCUCACAUUGCCAGGAGGAGCGAGCGCCGAGGCAAAACGGACUUUCGCGCAGCAAUCUUGAGAUAAUUGGGUCAACAGCGGAUCGCCAAGAAUCCCAUCUGGAGGGCCCCUCAGCCCCGACACCUCAGCAAGACUGAUAACCGCGCUGUAAAUACGUCAGGGUAUCGAAGACCUCGUUCUACCCCGUGACCUCUGUGCUUCGUCUCGCUCGUUCGCUUGUUCGUGAAACAGUGGCCGAAUUUUGUUUGAAAUAGAGC
RNAcentral lists this long non-coding RNA (483 nucleotides) under Penaeus monodon (black tiger shrimp). Its description in RNAcentral is "uncharacterized LOC119580312, transcript variant X2". Lineage: Eukaryota; Metazoa; Arthropoda; Malacostraca; Decapoda; Penaeidae. The record is from RNAcentral.